UUCCGGUUGAUCCUGCCGCCGGACCUGACUGCUAUCGGAUUGAUACUAAGCCAUGCGAGUCAUUGUAGCAAUACAAGGCAUACGGCUCAGUAACGCGUAGUCAACCUAACCUAUGGACGGGAAUAACCUCGGGAAACUGAGAAUAAUGCCCGAUAGAACAUUAUGCCUGGAAUGGUUUAUGUUCCAAAUGAUUUAUCGCCGUAGGAUGGGACUGCGGCCUAUCAGUUUGUUGGUGAGGUAAUGGCCCACCAAGACUAUUACAGGUACGGGCUCUGAGAGGAGUAGCCCGGAGAUGGGUACUGAGACACGGACCCAGGCCCUAUGGGGCGCAGCAGGCGAGAAAACUUUGCAAUGUGCGAAAGCACGACAAGGUUAAUCCGAGUGGUUUCUGCUAAAGGAACCUUUUGUCAGUCCUAGAAACACUGAUGAAUAAGGGGUGGGCAAGUUCUGGUGUCAGCCGCCGCGGUAAAACCAGCACCUCAAGUGGUCAGGAUGAUUAUUGGGCCUAAAGCAUCCGUAGCCGGCUCUGUAAGUUUUCGGUUAAAUCUGUACGCUCAACGUACAGGCUGCCGGGAAUACUGCAAAGCUAGGGAGUGGGAGAGGUAGACGGUACUCGGUAGGAAGGGGUAAAAUCCUUUGAUCUAUUGAUGACCACCUGUGGCGAAGGCGGUCUACCAGAACACGUCCGACGGUGAGGGAUGAAAGCUGGUGGAGCAAACCGGAUUAGAUACCCGGGUAGUCCCAGCUGUAAACCAUGCAAACUCAGUGAUGCAUUGGCUUGUGGCCAAUGCAGUGCUGCAGGGAAGCCGUUAAGUUUGCCGCCUGGGAAGUACGUACGCAAGUAUGAACUUAAAGGAAUUGGCCGGGGGAGCACCACAAGGGGUGAAGCCUGCGGUUCAAUUGGAGUCAACGCCGGA
Molecule: ribosomal RNA, 917 nt
Filed under: uncultured archaeon
Lineage: Archaea
Description: bacterial SSU rRNA
Rfam family: Archaeal small subunit ribosomal RNA
Source: RNAcentral